Molecule: non-coding RNA, 82 nt
Organism: Polyplosphaeria fusca
Lineage: Eukaryota; Fungi; Ascomycota; Dothideomycetes; Pleosporales; Tetraplosphaeriaceae
Source: the annotation of a GenBank genome assembly
GCCCGCUUGGCUUAGUGGUACAGCGUCUCACUCGUAUUAUGGCGACAUGAGAAGAUCCUCGGUUCGAUUCCGAGAGUGGGCA